RNAcentral lists this ribosomal RNA (115 nucleotides) under Cimex lectularius (bed bug). The record is from RNAcentral. Lineage: Eukaryota; Metazoa; Arthropoda; Insecta; Hemiptera; Cimicidae.
ACCAGCGUCCCAUGCUGAAUACACCAGUUCUCGUCCGAUCACCGAAGUUAAGCAGCAUCGGGCGUGGUUAGUACCAGGCUGGGUGCCCGCCUGGGAACUCUGCGUGCUGUUGGCA